AGCCUUCUGCAGAAAUCAGGCGGCUCUUAGUUCUGGCAGUCCAUUGUCUAGCUUCUCCCGGUCCUCCGCAUUGGAACCUCCAUCUCAGUGGGGUCCGGUCUCUCGACGCUCUUCUGGUUUGAUCGCUGGGCCGGGGACUCUCCCUUUGCGGCCCGCUUCCCUGCCCUCUUCUCUAUCUCCGUCGACCCCUUGAUUUCUGUUGAUAGGGCCCUUCUUGACUUAGGGCGCCUUGCUUUCCGACGGCCUUUUGGGCCCGCGGAAUCCGCCGCCUGGCGUGAGUUGCUUGAUUGCGUUGCUCUUCAUGAGCCGUUGGUGGAUGGUGGUCCUGACCUGGUGCGCUGGCGCCUGGAGCCGUCGGGCCAGUUCUCCACCAAGUCGCUCUACCUGGCCAUUGCCCCAUCCUCCGCCCUCCCCUUGUCGAUGGUUUGGUCCAUCCGCGUUCCCUUGAAGAUUCGCAUCUUCAUGUGGCAGUGGAUUCGCGGUCGGGUCCCGUCCGGGGUGGAGGUCUGCAAGCGCAAUGGCCCGGGUACUGGUCUCUGCCCGCUCUAUGAUGUUCCUGAAGACUCGAACCACAUCUUCUUCUCCUGCGUCUCCGCCCAGUUCCUCUGGAGCUGCUUUCGCGAGGUGGUCGGUGGAAGUUGGUGCCACACCAAUUUCCCGAACUUAUUUGCUGAACUCCAGCUGUCCCCCGUGACCUCUCGCCACAUUAGGUGGCUUGAGGUUGGGGUUCUCGCCUGGACCCUCUGGACCGUUCGCAAUAAGCUUGUGAUUCAACGUACUCCCCUUCGACGGGCUACUGACGCGCUCUUCAAACUCUCGGGUUUCUUGCAGCUUUGGCGGCCGCUUAGCCGCCCCCCGAACCGUGACGCCAUCUCAGCCUUCAUCGCCGACCUCCGUUCGAUGGCCGUCCGCCUGUCGCCGCCGCCUCCUCCUCCUCCGCCGGAUCCAGACUAG
Molecule: ribosomal RNA, 954 nt
Filed under: Triticum aestivum (bread wheat)
Lineage: Eukaryota; Viridiplantae; Streptophyta; Magnoliopsida; Poales; Poaceae
Description: partial small subunit ribosomal RNA
Source: RNAcentral